RNAcentral lists this ribosomal RNA (492 nucleotides) under uncultured bacterium. RNAcentral's name for it is "partial 16S ribosomal RNA". It matches the Rfam family "Bacterial small subunit ribosomal RNA", at positions 29 to 507 of the family's 1533-position model. The record is from RNAcentral.
AGUGAACGCUGGCGGUAGGCCUAACACAUGCAAGUCGAACGGCAGCACAGUAAGAGCUUGCUCUUACGGGUGGCGAGUGGCGGACGGGUGAGGAAUACAUCGGCAUCUACUUUUUCGUGGGGGAUAACGUAGGGAAACUUACGCUAAUACCGCAUAUGACCUACGGGUGAAAGCAGGGGAUCUUCGCACCUUGCGCGACUGAAUGAGCCGAUGUCGGAUUAGCUAGUUGGCGGGGUAAAGGCCCACCAAGGCGACGAUCCGUAGCUGGUCUGAGAGGAUGAUCAGCCACACUGGAACUGAGACACGGUCCAGACUCCUACGGGAGGCAGCAGUGGGGAAUAUUCGACAAUGGGCGCAAGCCUGAUCCAGCCAUACCGCGUGGGUGAAGAAGGCCUUCGGGUUGUAAAGCCCUUUUGUUGGGAAAGAAAAGCAGCAGGUUAAAACCCCGCUGUUCUGACGGUACCCAAAGAAUAAGCACCGGCUAACUUCGUG